RNAcentral lists this ribosomal RNA (99 nucleotides) under Escherichia coli. The record is from RNAcentral. Lineage: Bacteria; Pseudomonadati; Pseudomonadota; Gammaproteobacteria; Enterobacterales; Enterobacteriaceae.
GGUUGCGGCCAUAUCUACCAGAAAGCACCGUUUCCCGUCCGAUCAACUGUAGUUAAGCUGGUAAGAGCCUGACCGAGUAGUGUAGUGGGUGACCAUACG